Molecule: unclassified non-coding RNA, 222 nt
Filed under: plant metagenome
Description: partial contains small subunit ribosomal RNA, internal transcribed spacer 1, and 5.8S ribosomal RNA
Source: RNAcentral
GCUCCGUAGGUGAACCUGCGGAGGGAUCAUUACAGAGUUCAUGCCCUCACGGGUAGAUCUCCCACCCUGUGUUAUUAUACUUUGUUGCUUUGGCAGGCCGCCCGCGUGGGCUACCGGCUCCAGCUGGUAAGUGCCCGCCAGAGGACCCCAAACUCUGAAUAUUUUAUUGUCUGAGUACUAUAUAAUAGUUUAAAACUUUCAACAACGGAUCUCUUGGUUCUG